Molecule: long non-coding RNA, 6108 nt
Organism: Clupea harengus (Atlantic herring)
Lineage: Eukaryota; Metazoa; Chordata; Actinopteri; Clupeiformes; Clupeidae
Source: Ensembl
CCAAGACGUCUCGAAAAGUGGCACAGUGUACAGAGUGUGUUGCACCGGCCUCGGGUUUCAUCACCGCUGGCUUCAAGCAGCCAGGACAAAAGUUAAUGAUUCAAAAGCCAUUAAGUCUCAAAUUGGGUGUGUCCCAGGCCCACAACAAGCCAACAGCCUGUACUGUAUGUCAAUAUUAAAAUAUAGUCUAGUGUAAUUAUGCUUUCAGGCCAAAGACCAACCCCAUAGCUUCAUGGGAAUACGUCAUCCACUCUGACCCUUAAGAGUUUUCUUGGACUUUUCAUUGACUGCGCCAAGUCUGUUCACGAUUUAAUCUGCUUUAUAAAGCCGUCACGUGGGGGGACUUUCUUUCGUGGAGGAAGUUUUCUGGAGUGCUGCUUAACCGUGUGGAUGCUGACACAGCAGUGGCCUCACGGUCGGGGGAAACUCUAGAACCUUCCCCUCAAAAUCUAUUAGUCUUUUGGGACUUAAGUGUGCAACGCGUUCUGGGAAAGUCUAGCCUUUCACGCCAACACUGACCCACACGAACAGCUGAGAGAGCUGAGCCUUCAUGAGAACGCGGCAGUACAGAUUUCACGGAUCCCAUUUAAUGCCACAUCGGAAAAAAAACUUUUCACAGGCCACUGUCUCUUCCUCUGGCUAAAGGUCAACUUCAUUUUCACCAUCCAGUGUCAGCCAUAUCCGGACAGAAAGUCACCUGAUACCGGAAAUUAUAUUUCGAUUAACUGCCAAACAAACCCUGGCCCAAACACCUUCAGAGCUGGCAGAAUGGGAACCACAUGGUGUGGAAACACAUGCGACCUGCUGAGAGAGGGCUGUGAAAUCUCUUGUGUCCAGUUCAGACUAUAUUACAGUUGCCUAUCGACACCAAAGAGCCGCCACAACUGGUAACCAGCGGGGAGCAACACCAAGGGGGGGCUUCUUUUCUAGAAUAUUCUCCCACCCUCCGCUGGGCCAAAGCAGGACAGUUUUACUGAUGUCCACGGGGGAAAAGGCUUGCUGACCCGUUGUGCUCAUGUGGGUGGAGGCAGGCAACACGAGCGCCUGUGAGAUCAUGCUUUAGCCGGCCUGCUAUGGCCUCCAGGAGUUUAAAACGAGCGACUGUGAGAUCAUGCUUUAGCCGGCCUGCUAUGGCCUCCAGAAGUUUAAAAACGAUGAGCAAAUUAUUUCCAUGGCCCUAUCAGACUUGGGUCGUUUUUUUUUUCUUUUUUCUUUUUUUUUUUUUUCUUCAGCAAAAAAGGGGACCUUUGAGUCUUGAGUUUUCUUCUCAUAACAAGGGAAGGCAGUUCAACAUGCGCUGCACAGCACGUCCGCGAAUCAAACGCUGAGAUGUGAGACCGGGCCUAGCUGGGGAAGUAAUAACAAACCUGGCAAUGCAAGCUCUUCAAAAGUCUGAGCGACCCCAUCCUCUCCAAUCACGCCCGACUGUAAUCUCACACUGCUUGAUGGGAUCUCACUGGGCAAUAACAUUUUUCAGUGUCUUGUUACAUCAGACAAUCAGUAUGUAAAAGGUUCUUGUUUGAUUUAGAUUUAUAGAUGCAGAUGUCCAUACAUACUGUGCCAUUUUUUUUUUUUUAAGUCCAAUAUGUCCAUUUUCACCAUCCACUAACUGCAUAAUAAAAUGUAUAUGAACUUGUGACACAAUGGCAAUUAGUCUUGCUGCUUAUUUGUGUUAGCCGCUGUGUUAAUGUACCUGUUGACAUUUCAAUUUGAAUGUAUCUAGCUGCUAUCUGAUGAUUUAAUUUCUCUCCGGGGACUAAUAAAUUAAACUAAAUAUAACUAUACAAUAUAUAACUAUACAUAUACACUAUAUAUACUAUAUAUAUCCUAACUUGCACUUCUAUUAGUACUUAACUUGCACUUAUAGCAGUUACAUUCAUGCACUUUUUUCUUUUUCUUAUGUAAAAUAGUAUUUAGUUACACUAGGUCUCUAUUGCUCGUAGCUUGACUGUUCUCUCCCUUGUACGUCGCUUUGGACAAAAGCGUCUGCUAAAUGACUAAAUGUAAAUGUUUUUAAGUCCAAUAUGUCCAUUUUCACCAUCCACUAACUGCAUAAUAAAAUGUAUAUGAACUUGUGACACAAUGGCAAUGGCUAUAUCAAGACUAGAAGACCAGUAUUUCAGAUUUAGCCAAAAGGAUGACCUGGCCUGACACCAUGAGCUGACUUAGAGCAUUCAAAUUAUUUUGGGUCCCAAGUUUCUGUCUCAUAGCUUGGAAAAGUCACUUGCUUGAUUUAGAAUCGGUGACCUUUCUUUAGGUGUCCAUCAAAAGUCGCAGAGUCAUAAAACUAAUAAUGGUCCCUGUGGAUCUCAAAGGAUCCAAUUUCAGAGGUUGGGGGCAGACUUGCCCCACCAGCUUUCAAUGGACUUGAUUUAAUGCUAGGGUCGGCCAUGUGUUUCCAAAGGCAUUCAGUCUUAUAUUCCUUGAAAUGGUCUUCACAUCCCAACAGCAAUGAAUAAAUUAAAUGCUUUGAUAAAAAAAUCAAAAAAAUCUGUAAACAGCUUACUUGCCUGUGUACCGUCCUACCUGCCUACCAGCAUGCACUCUGCCCGUGCAAUCACCAAGCGUGAUCAGAGUCUUCCACAAGGCUAGGCAGACAUAUUGCUAAAGCUAGCGAGCUAGUCACACAAGAACUGCAGAGAAAGUGCAGCCAAAAUUUCCAGUUCCGACCAAAUACCUACAAAAACUUGCCUACAACCAAAAAGAGGUUGGAUAAAGCAAGAAGUCAAACUAGAUUCAACAUCAGUAUGGCUUUUUAACAAUAAUAAAACCAAUUUAUAUCUACAGCACCUUUCAGGAGCCCAAGGUGCUUUACAGAAUGCAUACAGAACAGACAGGCAUUGAGAGGCUGAGAGCAGACUGCUUUGGGAAGCCAUGCUGUGCGGUCAGCAGUCGCCGUGGACCAGCAUUACAUACAGUAGAUUUGGAAGGUCAGUGUUGGUAUCCCCACACUAAGGGACAACCAGAGGUUGAGGGAAGGGGCUGGGAUUUUCUUCAGUUAUACACUUUAAAAAUCUAGUUUGCUGUUGCUGUCUUCUCCAACAUUGCCUUCCCUACUUGUAAAUUAAUACACCAACCUGUCUGCCACAGAUAGUCAAAAGGGGACUUUGGACCGCUAACUGAAGGGGGUGGGGGCGCGAAGGGGUGCUGAUUGCAGACAGAUGAAUUGCCCGGUCUUAAAAACUUUUAAUGGCACUGGUAUGAAAGGCGCUCAACAUUUGCCCCAGCGUGCCAAUGAAGUCACCAACUUUGAACAAGACAGCCUUGUUUACCGCUCUGUUUACUGAUGUUUUGAAGACACGUGGCUGCCAUCACAUGCCACUAACUUUCACUGCCAAAACAACUAAAAUAGUCAAAUAGUGUGUGUAUUCCUCCAGCAUUUUUUCCAAAUGGAGACAUUUUGGAUAGCUUGAAUAAUGUCUCCCAGAGAUACCUGAAUGGCGGUAACCUCUAAUUUGAGCCUCCUCCUUCUUGAAUAACACACUAGAGAUGACAAGAUGGUAUAGUGGAGCUGGAAUGCUAAGUAGGUGUUCGCCUGAAACACACUCUCGUUUUUUUGGUUUUUAAGAGGGGGAUUUCUCCCAGUUUCUCUCAAACACGAAGUCACCCCCGAGGGAACAGGAGCCAGGGAGGGAGCAGAACAAACCGCUCAUCAUGUAACAAACUACAGGCUCCGCAGAGCAAAGGCUCCUCGCCACAACAAACAUUGAAGGGAAGGCAUGCCCUUAAAAUCCGCUGCACUUGCCAAAUAAUAAUAAUAGACUGAUGUGGGACGGUAGCGCGCUCGUUUGUUCCCGUUUGAAGGGCACAGCGUGGCAUGUCUUUCUCGGUACAUUUCCGGGUUGGCAUCUUUGCUAAGCCCCCCCCAAACGCCACCCCAUCCUGUACCAACCCCAUUCCACCCUGUCUAGUCUUGGGUCGUGUUUUGACUGGUCUCUUAAUAUACCCCCCUGGUUCUGCCUUGUGACUCUUCAGCAACACCCCUAAAUGUGGUGCACGGGGUGGGGGUUGGGGGGGGGAAUCAAAACUUAAACUGCGACUAAAAUGGAAGGAAUUCACAGCCCCAAAAACCAGAGGCGCGUGACACGGCUGCCUCACCACCCCCCCAUCUCCCCAAAAGGUGAGACAUCUUAAUUGUAUAGCCCUCAGCAAAUCUAAAAGCCAUAAAAGGAACGACCCAAAGGAGAAUGCAUCAUACCUGUGUCUCGUUUGCCUGUUUGAAAGCUUUAUGGGUUGGCAUUAAAAUACCAAACGAGACAAUCACAUCACGUCUCCUAAACGCACCGAUGGUAAAUAAGUGAAUACAACUACAACCACUGGUAGACAGGUUCUCGAAGUGCACAAGACGGUGGUAUGAAAAACUGACAGAUUAAAAAUGGCCAAAGGCUACUACUGCACUGUGGAGGAAGUGUAGAUCUAAGCAUGCAUGGUGACACAUUAUGGCCAGUUCUUAUUUUUCUUCCUUUCUCUUUUAAGAGAAAAUAUUUAAAGGAUUGAAGUCUUUGAAGUAGCGUUUGUUUUGCCUCGCCUUUCAGUCUCAGAAUGGAUGUGGAUUUUAACUAGGGAACAUAUUUUACAGUUUCCUCACAACCAUGCCCUCUUUAUGAUUACCAAUCCUAUGGCUUUAGAGCUUUAUUUUCCACCCCGAGACAAUAAGGAAACUUUUUAAAACCGAGAAAACAUUCAAGUGGUUAGGGUGUUCAAUAAGUAAACCAAACAAAAAAAGAAGAAAUAUUGAGCUAAUUUCUAAAAACAAUUGCAGUCUCCCUACUUAUCCAUUCAUUAGUCUUGCUGCUUAUUUGUGUUAGCCGCUGUGUUAAUGUACCUGUUGACAUUUCAAUUUGAAUGUAUCUAGCUGCUAUCUGAUGAUUUAAUUUCUCUCCGGGGACUAAUAAAUUCAACUAAAUAUAACUAUACAAUAUAUAACUAUACAUAUACACUAUAUAUAUCCUAACUUGCACUUCUAUUAGUACUUAACUUGCACUUAUAGCAGUUACAUUCAUGCACUUUUUUCUUUUUCUUAUGUAAAAUAGUAUUUAUUGUUACACUAGGUCUCUAUUGCUUGUAGCUUGACUGUUCUCUCCCUUGUACGUCGCUUUGGACAAAAGCGUCUGCUAAAUGACUAAAUGUAAAUGUAAAUGUAAUAUACUAUAUACCCUCCCCAACACACACACCUCCCAGUACCAGCUGAGUGACAGCUCCUCCAGAAGCACACAGAGGUGGCAUCCUUAGGUUUCUGUUUGGGAUGGAUUAGCUUUCCUUUCUGGUGUGCAGCACAGGUGAGAUGCUCCAUUUGAGGUGAAAACUCUUAAUCUCCUUGCAACGUGACACCACAGAGGUACAGUGACGUGAAGAAUAUUCGAGGAGGGGUCUACUUGUACAUACAAAGCUUUUAUUCCACACAAUGGCGAUGACUAUCGGGACGUGUAAGUCGAAAAUCUCCCCAGGAUUCACUUUCAAGAACUCAUUGUCGUCCCAAAAAAAGAGAAGUGUCAGAAGCAAACAAAACAAUUUGUAGGCGCAGUUAGCUUUUCUUAAGGUUUAGAUCGGUCUCUGAAAGUGUUCUUUUUUAGCGCAGCAAACAAACAGGAGCCAAGGACGGAUAAACAAUGAGAGCUUUUUCCACCAAUAAAAACCUGGUUUCUAUUAUUUGGUUGCUGAUGCUGAAGGACUCUGAGGCUUUGGCCCUGAAGGACAAAUCUGUUACUUUUCACUGAUCUACAAAUCCAUGACAAUCAAAUUACAUUUCUCACAGUAAGAAGCAGGCAACUAAGUAAAAAGCAAGCUAGCACCAGAAUAAUGACUUAGAAGAACACGAAAAACACAAAAGGUCACAAAAGUAGCGAGCCUACCACUGUCAACACCACAUGCAACCAUGAACAUGACAUACAACCAAGCCACUGUGCUUUGAACCAAGCUACAGCAGUGCUUACGGUUUGUGGGGUCAAUCCAAACUCAGUCUCGGCUCAGCAAGUUCCUCCCCAAGGGACAAUCGCGAAUGAGACCCCCUCGCCAGUAGUCAGGGCGGUCAUGUAACUACUUUAGGAGACGACCCUGAUGAGCACUCACAGCUGCUUGUCCCCUUAUAUAAGGCCAACAUAUCUGUGC